AAAUAGUGACUUUCUAUGGCACCUUAUAGCAGCCCCUCUGGCAUUUGCCAGAACCCACAGAUUGCCUGUCCGGGCCUGCAUCUCAGCAUUGGUGGGACAUAUUCUGUUUAUGUUGCAAGACUGAGGUUAACUGUUUCAAGCCCUCAUCAGCUCAGUCAAGAAGGUGCCAUUAACCCUUGCUAGCUGUGCUACGUUUGUUUUGUUUCCCUGCAAGACUACUUAUUCCUGCUACAGACUGUGCUGUUAACCCUUGCUUGUCUAUGUUGCCUGACUAAGCUUAUUACUGCAUAACCCUUAUUGACUGCCUAAGUGGGGGGAGGGGGGACUUACAUCAUUGAUUGGCUCCUAAAUCCGGGACUACAUACUUACCCAGGUUCCAGGGUUACUUCCCCCUGUGGGAAUCAGUGUUCUUCCAGCUGUAUGGAUUAACCUUAUCCUUUCCCAUCUUGUGAAGGACCCACUUCUCCAAGUACCUGUAGGAAGAGGUCAUCAUUAAGACCACACAUCGCCAGUCGGAAUUAUCUUCCCGCUACAGUUUACUUUCAGGCCACUUUUCUGUGAGCGUGUGGAUCAGCUUCUCCUGGAGUCAGUAGGGGAUCCUUUGUUACCAGUACCUGAAGACUCUAUUAAUUCUCAGGUGUAUUUGUGUUAUUGCUGCUGCUAUACAGGAUUCACCAUUUUGUCACAUUAAAUUCCUAACAGGUGUUAUGGGAAAACUCAUUAUAUUAACAUCACAUGAUAUAUACUUAAUCUACAGAUUAGGAGAGGCAGUUUCAGUUACCAUGUCAUGCAACGGCACUUUUGCGAGAUUAUACCUAAAGUUUUCAAGAAGGCAUCACAGAAGCCAGCAGAAAAAAAAGGAGUUCUUAGUUUGCACUGAUUUAGAGAACUGCCAGACACACAGAGGUAAAGGUAUAUCAACUGCAUUUAAGAAGCUAGAAAAAAAAGUCAUCUGCUUGAAACAUUGCAUUGGUUGCCAGACCUUUGCCAGUCUUUCAGACAUUUAUUGUAUCACCCUAUCAUAUCUGAGGUUAUUAUCCUUAGAUGAAUCACAGCUCCUGCAAUGGAGAACCAGUCCUGUGUGCCGUGCUGCUUAUGCCUUACAAUGCUGGAAGGGCAGAGCAUGGGUGAAAUAUGGACACCCUAUUGCACACCCCUUCAGCUAGAGUCUCCAAAACCCUAUACUUAGAAAGUUAUAAUCACAGGGGGUGUCAAUUGUUAUGCGUUAAUUAUAAUAAUUUACCUGAUAACUGGUACUCAUGUAUCUUCUGUUUAGUGAUUGAAUUGUUUAGGUUAUAUAUGCACUCUGAAGGCUUCUAAAUGAUUAUGGCAUGGUUAUUAUACAUUGUUAUUUUAAAUGAUUUAUUAUGACAGUCUCUUAUACGCAUAUCUACUUCCAUUUUCCGACUAUGCUUACUUGGGAACCCGCUGCUGGAUGAAACCGAACUUACACUGCAACUCCUGCUUUAGCACUCAUUUUACAUUGUACAUCCGAAAUUCCUAUUGUUCAUUACCAAUUCCUAUUGCCUUCCUGGUCUAGUAUUGUGUAACCCAGUUCCUUUAUUAAAUUGAUUGCUUCCUU
Long non-coding RNA from Xenopus laevis (African clawed frog), 1582 nucleotides. RefSeq lists it as uncharacterized. NCBI's taxonomy places the organism in Eukaryota, Metazoa, Chordata, Amphibia, Anura, Pipidae. The transcript has 2 exons. The record is from RefSeq and is a predicted model, not a curated record.